GUCUUGCCAAAGGCAUCGCUGGGUAGCUAUGUGCGGAAGGGAUAAGUGCUGAAAGCAUCUAAGCAUGAAGCCCCCCUCGAGAUGAGAUUUCCCAUCACUUUAUGUGAGUAAGAUCCCUGAAAGAUGAUCAGGUAGAUAGGUCUGAGGUGGAAGCGUGGCGACACGUGCAGCUGACAGAUACUAAUCGAUCGAGGACUUAACCAC
This 204-nucleotide ribosomal RNA is filed under the name Rossellomorea vietnamensis. RNAcentral describes it as "Bacillus vietnamensis partial 23S ribosomal RNA". It matches the Rfam family "Bacterial large subunit ribosomal RNA", at positions 2723 to 2925 of the family's 2925-position model. The record is from RNAcentral. Lineage: Bacteria; Bacillati; Bacillota; Bacilli; Caryophanales; Bacillaceae.